Molecule: long non-coding RNA, 506 nt
Filed under: Homo sapiens (human)
Lineage: Eukaryota; Metazoa; Chordata; Mammalia; Primates; Hominidae
Description: HSALNT0208417
Source: RNAcentral
UGGCCUUGGAGCCACCACAGGUCAAUGAGGAAGAAGUCCAUGGAGGCAGGGAGGCUCAAAGGCAGCACUGAAGCUUGUCAAAUGAGGCAGCAAGAAGGUCCUAGGAAGACUUAGGCAUCCAGAUUUGAUCAUGUGUGUGAACCAUUGAGGGCUGAAGGGUGAAAUGACAGAAGGAAGUCUGGAAAGCUAAGCUGGUGUCAUAUGCAGGAAGAAGGAAGCUGAAGGCUGUGGCCUGGGUUGGAACUAGUUUGCUGGAAGUGAGUGUACAAAAAAGUAGGUGACAAGUGGCCUUGUGGUGAAGGAAAAACUUCCAGUUUCGUAGUAAAAUGAACAUGGGGGAAAGAAGAGUGUCAGCCAAUUUGGAGCCCUCAAGUCUCAUGAACAGCAUGACAUGGCAGUCUAGGCCGGAGUGCUUUUUUUUUUUUUCUUUUUUAAUCUUGAGACAGAGUCUCGCUCUUGUUGCCCAGGCUGGAGUACAAUAGCACGAUCUUGGCUCACUGCAACCU